Molecule: ribosomal RNA, 253 nt
Filed under: uncultured bacterium
Lineage: Bacteria
Description: partial 16S ribosomal RNA
Rfam family: Bacterial small subunit ribosomal RNA
Source: RNAcentral
UACAGAGGGCUCGAGCGUUAUGCGGAAUCACUGGGCUUAAAGCGUGUGUAGGCGGAUCGUUAAGUACCUUGUGAAAUUCCACGGCUUAACCGUGGAACUGCUUGGUAUACUGGCGGUCUUGAGCCAGCUAGGGGCUACCGGAACAAAUGGUGGAGCGGUGAAAUGCGUAGAUAUCAUUUGGAACGCCAAUGGUGAAAACAGGUAGCUGGGGCUGUGCUGACGCUGAGACACGAAAGCCAGGGGAGCAAAGGGG